UCUUGUAACUUCGGUGUAUACAUUACAACUGUCUUGCUGUAGUCUUCUUUACAAGAAGCCAAAAUCACAUUGCUUUCCAAACUGUAUGCACGCUGUGUGAAUAAACUUUGUUCCUGUUGAAGUGCUGUGUGCAGUGUACAGUGCACUUCUCCAUUCCCCCCCCUCUAAUUGAUCUUUCCAUACAUAUUUGUAGGAGAAGACCAGUGCCCUCAGUCUGAGCAACGUGGCUGGAGGCUUCUACAUUCUUGUCGGAGGACUUGGUUUGGCAAUGCUGGUGGCUUUGAUUGAAUUCUGUUACAAGUCCAGAGCCGAGGCGAAACGAAUGAAGAUGACCUUGAAUGAUGCCAUGAGGAGCAAGGCAAGGCUGUCAAUUACAGGAAGUACUGGAGAAAAUGGACGUGUUAUGACUCCAGAAUUUCCAAAAGCAGUGCAUGCAGUACCUUACGUGAGUCCUGGCAUGGGAAUGAAUGUCAGUGUGACUGAUCUCUCGUGAUUGAUAAGAACCUUCUGAGUGCCUUACACAAUGGUUUUCUUGUGCGUUUAUUGUCAAAGUGGUGAGAGGCAUCCAGUAUCUUGAAGACAUUUCUUUCGGCCAAGAAUUCUUAUAUUUGUGGAGUUCAUCUUGAAUUGUAAUGAAUGCUUAGUACAAAACACAACACCAUUUUCUACACAAGUUCAAGAUGAAGCUUGACUGACAUGCACAGCUAACAUGGAAGUACUGUAAUCUAACUGAAGUCGUGUACAGGAAACACACCAGUUUCUGCAGCCACCAUUGUUAGUCCCUUGGUUCAUACUGACUUAAGCACACUUGACAUCAAUUGCAUCAAGAUGUGACAUGUUUUAUAAGAAAAAAAAAACAUUUAAAAGGAAAAAAAUAUUUUUAGGUAUUUUCACAAACAAACUGGCUUUUAAAUAAAUUUGCUUCCAUAAUGGUUGAAUAAGACAAAAAAAAUUAACUGUGGGGAAGUGGAAAAAUCAAAAAAAGGCUUUAGGGCAUCAGUUCCAUAUUUUUGAGAGCCAAAUAUGUAAAUGAUGAGGUGAGGAAAAUAAAUAAAUAAAAGGUUCAAAUCUUGUAAUUUUAAUUGUUAUUAAAACUUUACUGUAUAGCCUAUUCUUUAAUAUUUGGUGUUAAUAUCCAAUUGGCAAUGCUUGACAUUUGAAAUAAACUUUUUUCUAUGGUUUUA
Molecule: non-coding RNA, 1184 nt
Organism: Chrysemys picta bellii (western painted turtle)
Lineage: Eukaryota; Metazoa; Chordata; Testudines; Emydidae
Source: RefSeq, a predicted model, not a curated record